CAAUAGCGUAUAUUAAAGUUGUUGCAGUUAAAAAGCUCGUAGUUGGAUUUGUGGCGUACGGUGUGUUCCGGGCACUUGUUGUCUGAGUAACCUGCUGUUGCCAUCCUUGGGUGGAACCUGUGUGGCAUUAGGUUGUUGUGCAGGGGAUGCCCAUCAUUUACUGUGAAAAAAUUAGAGUGUUCAAAGCAGGCUUAUGCCGUUGAAUAUAUUAGCAUGGAAUAAUGAGAUAGGACUUUUUUGCUAUUUUGUUGGUUUGCGCAAGAAGGUAAUGAUUAAUAGGGACAGUUGGGGGUAUUCGUAUUCCAUUGUCAGAGGUGAAAUUCUUGGAUUUUUGGAAGACGAACUACUGCGAAAGCAUUUACCAAGGAUGUUUUCAUUAA
This 380-nucleotide ribosomal RNA is filed under the name uncultured eukaryote. RNAcentral's name for it is "partial 18S ribosomal RNA". It matches the Rfam family "Eukaryotic small subunit ribosomal RNA", at positions 592 to 976 of the family's 1831-position model. The record is from RNAcentral.